UGUAAACUUGGGAUUAAACCUUUCAACUUCAAUUGUCACUCUUCCCGCUUGCAAGUUGCAACUAAUUGUUCAUUUGGCCGUUCGGUUAGCUAGUAGACUCUCUAGACGAUGGACAGCAUGCGCUUGACUUCUCUCAAGUCGGCAAAAGCAGAAACUAAAAGAUAAAUAACGAAAAAUUAAAAAAAAAGUAACGGCAAGACCCAUUGAUACCAGGAGCAAAAUCCUUCGCACCUAUGCCUCUAGAUGGCUCCACCUCUGAGUUCGGUAUGGUAAGAGACCUUAUAGAGGUGAAGUGAGGUAAAUGGGACGGGAAAUUAUCACAAUUGUUCACAGCAGCUAUGGUGAAGGACAUAUUGACAAUACCACUGAGUGGGAUUGAAGUCCAAGACGUGCUAGUCUGGCAUUUCAACAAGGACGGUGUGUACAGUGCUAAAAGAGGAUACCACCUCCGGAGAUCAAAUGAGCAGUCACUGCAGGGAUCUCAGGAAGAAAAUGGGGACGGAGUCUGGGGAAGGGAGAUACAGGUGUGGAACAAAAUAUGGCGGGUAGACCUCCCAAGCAAGUUAAAGGUGUUCGGUUAGAGAUUAUGUAAUGAAAUCCUCCCACCAAACAAAACCUGCAAAGAAGAAGGAUUUUAGCACAGGCGAUGUGUCAGAGAUGUAACACAGGGGAGAAACUGUGAUUCAUGCGAUAGCCGAAUGUCCGAGAGCAGUAGAAGUAUGGCGGGAAGCCGGACUGACUGACCAAAACGGUGACAACAUGAACAGAAGAUCGAACAAUGGUUGAGGAGACUUACCAAGGACUUUGAAGAAGACAUGCUGGAGAAAGUCCUAACGGUUUCUUGGGCGAUAUGAACAAGUAGCAAUGACCAUGUUAAGAACCAAGUAGAACGCAGCAGUAAACAUACCGCCAGAUAUGCUAUUCAAUACAGGGAAGAGUAUAAAAGAGCACAAGAAAGACCUGAAAGCUUGACAACUAAUUCCCUAGGCUAGUGGAAGGCACCAAUUGAAGGUAAGGUCAAGAUAAACUUUGAUGGGGCAUUGGAAGUACAGAACGGAAGUGGGGGGGGGGGGGGGGGUAUAGGAGCAGUGCCAAGAGACUCAGCCGGAGUUGUUCGUGGAGAAAUGUGCAAGAAGUUUCAAAGUAUAUGUGAUCCCACAACAAUCGAAGCUUUGGCAAUGGUGGAAGCAGCAAAGCUUGCAGCAGAAAUGGGCUUUCAUCAGAUUUAAGUGGAGGGCGACGCAAGGGAAAUCGUACACCAAAUAAAGAGGAAGCACUGAGACCUGUCCUAGGUAAUCUCAUGGAGGAGGGUAGGUUGCAGGAGUUCACAUCAUGGGAGCGUUUAUAUGUUAAACAGAGAAGGAAACAGGGCGUCCCAUUGCAUGGCAAAGAUGACCAAGGGAGGAGAGGACACGAGGUUUUGGGUAGAAAAUUUCUCUGAGUUCAUUACUUGUAAUAUGUGAACAAUAUAGAACUGGAAGUUAAGUAAUGAAGUUUUAUUUAAUAUAAAAAAAAAGGUGAAAAUGCCAUAAUUUUUACAAAUAAAACAGAGAGUUCACAUGAUUUUGUUAUACUGGAAUAUCUCGUUAAAUUCCACCACUUGUACUUUUAUCCAGAUUUUCAGUUACCGUGCAGACUAAAAAAACUGAGAAAAAUGUUACUAAGACCGCAAUUAACGGGACAGAACGAAAUUUAAAGCAGUCAAUGGAGUGGUCAUCAGCACAACGUUAUCUCUUUAGGCACUUGUAUAUAAUUUAAUACAUUAAAACAUAACAUCAAAGUCUAAUUUUGAUUUUUCUAUUAUCUUAAUCAUAUGAUUUUGGUCCAUUUGUCCUAAAUUUAAUGAAUUUAAUCCUAUAUUUUUAAAGAUAAAGAAUAACAAUGUUAAAAAUUUUCUAUUAAAUUGAUUAUAUGAAAUUUUUGUUGAUAAAGUAGCAUGUUAAUCUGAAAUUUUUUUAUCAGCACAUGACAUAUAUUAGCAAGGAAGAACUUUAUUUUUAAUAAAAAUAUAA
RNAcentral lists this long non-coding RNA (2012 nucleotides) under Durio zibethinus. RNAcentral describes it as "long non-coding RNA (DZIB_LNC002072)". Lineage: Eukaryota; Viridiplantae; Streptophyta; Magnoliopsida; Malvales; Malvaceae. The record is from RNAcentral.